AUUAGCUGGAUUUCUUCUAGGGAGAGGAGAGGAGGAAGGCAGGUCCAGGCAGAGGGUACAGCCUGUGGCCGGAAAAGUCUCAGCUUUUUUUCCAAGGGGCAGCCAACUUUUGGGGGAAGAUGUACAGAAGGAGAAACAGCAGCCCAACGCCAGUGGUGCCAGCAGAAUGAUAAGAACUGAGGCUUCUCAAGCUCUUACCGCCUCCCAGCCCCACAGUGAACACUUCCUGCCAUCCUGUCACUGAAUGCCCAUCCUGACCCCAAAGGAACAGAGAACGGAGGGAAGACACAUCUGCUUUUAACUGCUUCUGCCCAGAAGGGACGCCAUCACUUCUGCUCCCAUUUCAUUGGUAAGAACCAGUCACAUGACCUCAUCCGGAUGCAAAGGGUGCUGGGAAAUGUAGUCUCUGGCUGGGCAGCCGCUUCCUGGCCACAACUAUACACUGUGGAAGUGGAGUUCUGGUGGACAGCUG
RNAcentral lists this long non-coding RNA (472 nucleotides) under Equus asinus (donkey). RNAcentral's name for it is "lncRNA (ENSEASG00005026875.1)". Lineage: Eukaryota; Metazoa; Chordata; Mammalia; Perissodactyla; Equidae. The record is from RNAcentral.